GAGGCUCAUGGUUUGGGAUGAGGUUUGGACCAGUCUCCCAGGCUGAGCCCGGCCCAGGGGUGACACGGAUCUUGGCAUCAACGCUCCACAUACAGAGUGACUGCUCCGUCCUGGGGAACAGAACCAAGGUCCAUAAGGAGUGUCACAUUCGGCUUAAUCCCGAGCCCCACUCAGCUUCCUCUGGGUGAAAUGGUCUCAGGAAGGACAGCAGCGUCUGGGGAGGGGCCAGCGGGCGUGUGACCCGGGAGCCUCGACCUCGAAAAGGAACUUCUUUUUGUACCUUUCUCUCCAUUGACACAUAAGAUUUGUCCACACCCGCGGGGUAUCCUGUAGGAGGUGCAUCUCAUGAGGUGAUUCUGUUCACGGGGGUGGAACUUUCAAAUCAGGGGGGGAACAACUCUCUUCUCAAACGUGCCUCAUUUCUUUCUUUGUGGUGAAAACAUUCAAAAUCCUUGUGGCAUUUUGCCAUCCACAGUGCCCUCCCGUUAUCACUAGUGACCCUCUAAAGCAAGAGCACACGGGAAUUUCUUGCUCCUGUGACUUGGCAUCAGUUGCUGGAACCUCUCUCUGUCCCUCCUUCCCCGGCCCUUCCAGCCUCUUCAGCCAGCUUCUGUCCCCAGCUUCCAUGGGGUCCGCUUUUACAGAUUCCGUGAGAGAGGUCACGUGGUCCUUGUGUUUCUGUGUCUGGCUAAUUUUACUUAACACAAUGGCCUUCAGCUUCAUCCAUGUUGUCACAAGUGACAGGGUUUUGUCCUUUUUAUGACUGAAUAGUGUUCCACUGGACUUGAACACGUUGUCCACCACUCUUCUGUUGAUGGGCACUUACGUUGACUCCACAGUUGGCUGAGUAGAACGGCAAGGAACCCGGAGGGCAGCUGGCCCCCUGGAUGCUGCUUUCCCCUCCUUUAGAUAUAUACCAUAUGGGGGUUUUAUUUUCCAUUUUUAAAGGAAGCUCCAUACUCUUCUACAGUGGCUAUCGUAAUUUCAUUCUCCCCAGCCAGAGGCCAGGGCUCCCUUUCUCCACAUCCCCACCACACUGUCACCUCUUUCUAACAGAUCUACCUGGAGGAGGUGGCAUCUCAUGGCGGUUUUGGUUUGCACUUCCCUGAUGAGUUGAGCCUUUUUCAUAUGACUGUUGGCCAUCUGCAUGUUCUUGCUUGAGAAAUGCCUGCUGAGGUCUACUGCCUUCAUUUUGCAUGUGUGUGUUGUGGAUUGAACCCAGGGCCUCAGACACGCUAAGCCCUUGCUCUACCGCAGAGCUACACACCAGCCUAUUGCCCAUUUUUCAAUCGGAUCAUAAUUAUUGCUAUUAAGUGUCUUAUGUAUUCUAGAUAUUGAGCCCUGGUGGCAUGUGUUGGUUUGUUCCCCCAGUCCCAGUUACUUGGGAGGAAGGAGAUCACUUGGGCCCAGGAGUUAAGACCAUGGUGAAACCCCAUCUCAAAACUAACCAAACCAACCCCUCCACAUUGUCUCUUCACCCUGUAGUUUCCUUUGCUGUGCAGAAGCUUUUCAGUUUAAUCCAUUUGUCUACUUUUGCUUUUGCUUCCUUACUUUGGGGGUCUCACCACACGCUCCUGCCCCGUUCCAGCAUCCUACAGGACCCCCCUGUGUCCUCCUGGGAGGGAAGCCGUUUUCCUAAACUGGGGAUGACAAUCUGCUAGGCCGGUGGCUACUCGCUUUCUCAGGGACCUCUAUUGACACGUAGGCCUUCCAAAUGAUGUUCAAUAAUGGAUCCCGGAUAGUGUCCUUGACAGAAAUGUCUAUAUACCAAAUGCAAAGCACAGAACCGCCCAAAGGAACUCUUAAGUCCUCCGAGAUGAGGGAAACCUGCCUGGGAAUCCCUAGGACGGAGGUGUUAAAACCAGAGAAUGGAAAGGCAAGCAAAUUAUAGGCGAUCUAGCAGCCGGAAGUCUGGGGGCCGGGGGCCGGGGAUGAUGGUGUCACUUUCCAUUUAUCCACCGUCUCUCAGUGGAGCAUCUCAAAGCUCAGCACAGGCAGCUCUUUAAUCCUCCCACAGGAGGAUGCUGACUUGAAGGGUUCCCUGGGGAGCAAGACAUAAACCCUUGGAUCAAAACCCAGACCUGUCUCCUCUCUGCUUCCUGACAACCUUGGUUGCGGAGCCGCCUGCCCAGGCAAAUGCAGAGGAGAACCCAGAUAUGGGCCUUAGGAAUAUUGAGACUCGGGCAGGGGCUGUAGCUCUGUGGUGGAGCGCUUGCC
RNAcentral lists this long non-coding RNA (2217 nucleotides) under Marmota monax (woodchuck). Lineage: Eukaryota; Metazoa; Chordata; Mammalia; Rodentia; Sciuridae. The record is from RNAcentral.